This is a non-coding RNA of Acanthosepion pharaonis, 93 nucleotides long. The record is from the annotation of a GenBank genome assembly. NCBI's taxonomy places the organism in Eukaryota, Metazoa, Mollusca, Cephalopoda, Sepiida, Sepiidae.
CGAAACACUUGUUCUUGUAUGAUCACUGAAGUUAAGCAACAUUGAGCCUGCUCAGUACCUCGAUGAGUGACCAUUUGGGAAUACUAGAUGCUA